AUCAGAGGACCAUCAGACUGAGGCGCGUGCACGGGGCGACACCAUGUUUUUAUUUUCUCUCUCUUUGUACUAAAACACGAUUUCCCGGUCGGAAUAUUAUCGAUUUUUUACGAGAAAAAUGGCAUAAAAAUUGAUUUUAAACAGCGGUUGACAUGCUUCGAAGUACGGUAAUGGAAUAUUUAGAUUUUUUUUUGUCACGAAUUGCGCCAUGCUCGUGACCCUUAUUUACACUUCGGAUAGUGUCUUGAACGCACGAACAAAACGCAGCUGUUUGGUUAUAACAAUGGAUUAUUUUGGACCAAACCAACAUUUGUUAUUGAAGUAGCAGUCCUGGGAGUGCAUUCUGACGAAGAAAAUCAAAGGCUAAAGAAGUGUAACGAUCGUCUGACAGAGGGGACCAAGAUGCAGCGUGGGGGAAGGAUGGCUAGCCACACAGGAGGGUGAUUUUUACUAAGGAGGAGAAGGAGGCCAUGCUGACCGAGAUGUAUGCUGGCCAUUUCGGAAUGAAGCACAUGAUUGCCAAAAUCAACCUAUACUUCUUCUGAUGGGGAAUUGUCAAGGAGGUGGACAGCUGGGUCAGUACCCUGUCUAGCCUGCCAGAAGAUUGAGAGGGUGAAGACUGUGCCGCUGGAGAUGAAGCCCAUCAGUUGUUUCACCAUGGCACAUGAUAGGUUUGGUGAAUGGAUCAACCAGACACUGAAAACUGCUGUGGGAAAAUCCCUUGAUUGGUACCAGGAAGGGUGGGAGAACAACCUGAAGAUCCCUGAAACUCCACCUGAUGUGGUGGAAGUUGUCAAACCAGAUCAGAACACCUUCAGGCACGGACUAAGAAGGAUGUGGAGGUUUUUGACCAGUUGAGCAAAGAAAUUGAGACUGAAGAUGGACAAGGCGCAGGAGAAACAGAAGGAGAGUUACCGGAGCAGAAUCAAGAAGGGGACCAAGUGCUACGACAUCCGGGCGAGUUACUUGGUUUGGAAGAAGGAUGAAAGGAAGGGUUACCUCAGUGGAAGGGAACAAUCUUCUACAGUUGGAGCAGUUGGAUGGUCGACCACUGGAAGCACUGACGCUGUACACUUCAGUGAAGCCCAAUAGACAAAGCAUGUUAACCUGUUAUGGCUAGGGGGCAGUAUUUUCACGGCAGUAUUGACACUUCCUACGUCUUCCAUGGGCGCUCAGAGCCCGGGAAAAACCUGAAUGUCGUCAUCCCAGCCCCAGGCUGAAACACAUUAUCGCCUUUCUCAAGUGGCCGAUCAAGGGACUGUGGGCUUAGGCGCGUGCCCUGGCCGCCCCCGUCUUUGUGAUUUUUCCUCUGUUUGCCGAAAAGGAGAUUCCCGGUUGGAAUAUUAUCGCUUUUUUACGAGAUAAAUUGCAUAAAAAUUGAUUUUAAACAGCGGUUGACAUGCUUCGAGGUACGGUAUUGGAAUAUUUAGAAUUUUUUUGUCACGAAUUGCGCCAUGCGCACGACCCUGAUGUACCAUUUCGGAUAGUGUCUGGGACGCACGAACAAAACGCCGCUAUUCGGAUAUAACGAUGGAUUAUUUUGGACCAAACCAACAUUUGUUAUUGAAGUAGCAGUCCUGGGAGUGCAUUCUGACGAAGACAACAAAAGGACCAUCGACUGACUGUCUGAGCCCCCGAGGAGGUAUCCCGUCCACCAGAACCAGUGAGUUCGGAUCAGUCUGAUUCUCUGUGCUCUGUGUCAGAGGGGGGCCAGCUUGAGGACCUAGGGGUUCUGCCCAACACCCAGACGUGGAUCCACCUGAUGUCCUCCAUUACCAACCACCCUCCAACUUUUCAUUACAUAAUCUACAGCUACUGUUGUUGUCAUUAUCUGCUCUUUAUCAUACUGGGAACACAAUAUGUGAGAUACACAGGUUAACUAAAAACACUAGCACUGCAAAUAAUCAGAACAAAGAGAGCAGCAGUGCCUGGAUAUUGCAGUCUCCCUCUUCAAGUCCCCCUUCUGAGACUGGCUGCCUGUUGAGAACCUCCAACCCACACAGCAACCACCUCCCCUAUAUUCCACACAGCAGAGUUCUGUAUUUUAGUCUAUGAUUGCCAUGUGAGCGCACAAGCAAUUUGUGAAAAAACAUUC
This 2095-nucleotide long non-coding RNA is filed under the name Salmo salar (Atlantic salmon). Its description in RNAcentral is "lncRNA (ENSSSAG00000106174.1)". Lineage: Eukaryota; Metazoa; Chordata; Actinopteri; Salmoniformes; Salmonidae. The record is from RNAcentral.